ACGGGGUGCAGCAGGCGCGAAAACUUUACAAUGCUGGCAACAGCGAUAAGGGAACCUCGAGUGCCAGGUUACAAAUCUGGCUGUCGAGAUGCCUAAAAAGCAUUUCAUAGCAAGGGCCGGGCAAGACCGGUGCUAGCCGCCGCGGUAACACCGGCGGCUCGAGUGGUAACCGUUAUUAUUGGGUCUAAAGGGUCUGUAGCCGGCCGGAUAAGUCUCUUGAGAAAUCUGGCAGCUCAACUGUCAGGCUUUCAGGAGAUACUGUCUGGCUCGAGGCCGGGAGAGGUGAGAGGUACUUCAGGGGUAGGGGUGAAAUCUUGUAAUCCUUGAAGGACCACCAGUGGCGAAGGCGUCUCACCAGAACGGACCUGACGGCAAGGGACGAAAGCUAGGGGCACGAACCGGAUUAGAUACCCGGGUAGUCCUAGCCGUAAACGAUACUCGCUAGGUGUCGGCCACGGUGCGACCGUUGUCGGUGCCGUAGGGAAGCCGUGAAGCGAGCCACCUGGGAAGUACGGCCGCAAGGCUGAAACUUAAAGGAAUUGGCGGGGGAGCAC
This 554-nucleotide ribosomal RNA is filed under the name uncultured archaeon. Its description in RNAcentral is "bacterial SSU rRNA". It matches the Rfam family "Archaeal small subunit ribosomal RNA", at positions 325 to 879 of the family's 1478-position model. The record is from RNAcentral.